AAAUUGAAGAGUUUGAUCAUGGCUCAGAUUGAACGCUGGCGGCAGGCCUAACACAUGCAAGUCGAACGGUAACAGGAAGCAGCUUGCUGCUUCGCUGACGAGUGGCGGACGGGUGAGUAAUGUCUGGGAAACUGCCUGAUGGAGGGGGAUAACUACUGGAAACGGUAGCUAAUACCGCAUAACGUCGC
This 188-nucleotide ribosomal RNA is filed under the name Escherichia coli. RNAcentral's name for it is "partial 16S ribosomal RNA". It matches the Rfam family "Bacterial small subunit ribosomal RNA", at positions 1 to 182 of the family's 1533-position model. The record is from RNAcentral. RNAcentral also lists the same sequence under 5 other names. Lineage: Bacteria; Pseudomonadati; Pseudomonadota; Gammaproteobacteria; Enterobacterales; Enterobacteriaceae.